Molecule: long non-coding RNA, 304 nt
Filed under: Haliotis rufescens (red abalone)
Lineage: Eukaryota; Metazoa; Mollusca; Gastropoda; Lepetellida; Haliotidae
Description: uncharacterized LOC125382670
Source: RNAcentral
AUUGGGAGAAACGCCACUGUCUGUCAACUUCUGGACCAGGUGUUUCCUCAUACUGAACAAAAACCCAAAUGAUUCAGUUCUCAUGCCGAAGUUCAGACAACAAAUCAUCCACAUGGUGUGAAGGAGGCUGUGUGGGUUAUCACUUCCGAGGGUCUUGACAUCGUACAUGGCAUCAAUAUCCGUAUCUGACAGCUCUUCAGCAGCCUUGGAUCUCGAAGAAACCUUGAAACAUCAUCAUCACUGAUAGAUUGAUACCCUUUUAUCACCAAGUAUGCUGUAAUCUAUUGCAGAUAAUAAAUUAUCC